RNAcentral lists this ribosomal RNA (495 nucleotides) under uncultured beta proteobacterium. RNAcentral's name for it is "bacterial SSU rRNA". It matches the Rfam family "Bacterial small subunit ribosomal RNA", at positions 430 to 916 of the family's 1533-position model. The record is from RNAcentral. Lineage: Bacteria; Pseudomonadati; Pseudomonadota; Betaproteobacteria.
GCACUUUUGUCCGGAAAGAAAAUCUCCGUACUAAUAUGGUGGGCGGAUGAUAGUACCGUGCCAACAACCACCGGCUAACUACGUGCCAGCGCCUUCGGUAAUACUUAUGGUGCAAGCGUUAAUCUGAAUUACUGGGCGUAAAGCGUGCGCAAGCGGUCCGCUAAGACAGAUGUGAAAUCCCCGGGCUUAACCUGGGAACUGCAUUUGAGACUGGCGGGCUUGAGUAUGGCACAGGGGGGUAGAAUUCCACGUGUAGCAAUGAAAUGCGUAAAGAUGUGGAGGAAUACCGAUGGCGAAGGCAGCCCCCUGGGCCAAUACUGACGCUCAUGCAUCAAAAGCGUGGGGAGCAAACAGGAUUAGAUACCCUGGUAGUCCACGCCCUAAACGAUGUCAACUAUUUGUUGGGGAUUCAUUUCCUUAUUAACGUAGCUGACACGUGAAGUUGACCGCCUGGGGAGUACGGUUCUCAAGAUUAAAACUCAAAGGAAUUGACGG